GAUGAAUAACGCAGCGAAAUGCGAUAAGUAAUGUGAAUUGCAGAAUUCAGUGAAUCAUCGAAUCUUUGAACGCACAUUGCGCCCGCCAGCACUCUGGCGGGCAUGCCUGUUCGAGCGUCAUUUCAACCAUCAAGCCCCCAGGGGCUUGUGCUGGGGCCCUGCGGCUGCCCGCAGGCCCUGAAAACCAGUGGCGGGCUCGCUAGUCACACCGAGCGCAGUAGCACAUCUCGCUCAGGGCGUGCGGCGGGCUCCUGCCGUGAAACCCCCCACUGUAACCCCAAAGGUUGACCUCGGAUCAGGUAGGAAUACCCGCUGAACUUAAGCAUAUCAAUAAGCGGAGGA
RNAcentral lists this unclassified non-coding RNA (342 nucleotides) under soil metagenome. RNAcentral describes it as "partial contains 5.8S ribosomal RNA, internal transcribed spacer 2, and large subunit ribosomal RNA". The stretch from base 1 to 120 matches the Rfam family "5.8S ribosomal RNA", at positions 35 to 154 of the family's 154-position model. The record is from RNAcentral.